GACGAACGCUGGCGGCGUGCUUAACACAUGCAAGUCGAACGCUGAAGCUCAGCUUUUGUUGGGUGGAUGAGUGGCGAACGGGUGAGUAACACGUGAGUAACCUGCCCCCUUCUUUGGGAUAACGCCCGGAAACGGGUGCUAAUACUGGAUAUUCACUGGUCUUCGCAUGGGGGUUGGUGGAAAGGGUUUUUCUGGUGGGGGAUGGGCUCGCGGCCUAUCAGCUUGUUGGUGGGGUGACGGCCUACCAAGGCUUUGACGGGUAGCCGGCCUGAGAGGGUGACCGGUCACAUUGGGACUGAGAUACGGCCCAGACUCCUACGGGAGGCAGCAGUGGGGAAUAUUGCACAAUGGGCGCAAGCCUGAUGCAGCGACGCCGCGUGAGGGAUGGAGGCCUUCGGGUUGUGAACCUCUUUCGCUCAUGGUCAAGCCGCAACAAUGGUUGUGGUGAGGGUAGUGGGUAAAGAAGCGCCGGCUAACUACGUG
This 483-nucleotide ribosomal RNA is filed under the name uncultured bacterium. Its description in RNAcentral is "partial 16S ribosomal RNA". It matches the Rfam family "Bacterial small subunit ribosomal RNA", at positions 28 to 507 of the family's 1533-position model. The record is from RNAcentral.